UACGGGGGGAGCAAGCGUUGUUCGGAUUUACUGGGCGUAAAGCGCACGCAAGCGGUCUGACAAGUCUGGCGUGAAAUUCUCUGGCUUAACCAGGGGGGGUCGCUGGAAACUGUUAGGCUUGAGGCGAUGAGAGGGGUGCAGAAUUCCACGUGUAGCAGUGAAAUGCGUAGAGAUGUGGAGGAACACCGAUGGCGAAGGCAGCCCCCUGGGCCAACACUGACGCUCAGGCACGAAAGCGUGGGGAGCAAACAGG
This 253-nucleotide ribosomal RNA is filed under the name uncultured bacterium. Its description in RNAcentral is "partial 16S ribosomal RNA". It matches the Rfam family "Bacterial small subunit ribosomal RNA", at positions 524 to 776 of the family's 1533-position model. The record is from RNAcentral.